GACGAACGCUGGCGGCGUGCCUAAUACAUGCAAGUCGAGCGAACAGAUGAUGAGCUUGCUCCUCUGACGUUAGCGGCGGAGGGGUGAGUAACACGUGUAUAAUCUACCUAUAAGACGGGUAUAACUUCGGGAAACCGGAUCUAAUACGGGAGAAUAUAUUGAACCGCAUUGUGCAUUGGUAAAAUACGGUGUUGCUGGCACGUAUAGAGGGAUCCGCGCCGCAUUAGCUAGUGGUGAAGUUAACGGGUUACCAAGGCUACGAGGCGUAGCCGACGGCAGGGGGUGGUAGCCGACCCGGGAACUGAGACGCGGACAAGACGCCUAAGGGAGGCAGCAGAAGGGAAUCGUCCGCAAUGGGGGAAAGCAUGACGGAGCAAGCGCGAGUGAGUGAUGAAGGUCUUCGGAUCGUAAAACUCUGUUAUUAGGGAAGAACAAAUGUGUAAGUAAAUAUGCACGUCUUGACGGUACCUAAUCAGAAAGCCACGGCUAACUACGUG
This 497-nucleotide ribosomal RNA is filed under the name uncultured bacterium. RNAcentral describes it as "partial 16S ribosomal RNA". It matches the Rfam family "Bacterial small subunit ribosomal RNA", at positions 28 to 507 of the family's 1533-position model. The record is from RNAcentral.